GCAAGGAUGCCCGAGUGGCUAAGGGGGAAGACUUAAGAUCUUCUGUCGAGAGACGCAUGGGUUCGAGUCCCAUUCCUUGCA
Molecule: non-coding RNA, 81 nt
Organism: Dermatophagoides pteronyssinus (European house dust mite)
Lineage: Eukaryota; Metazoa; Arthropoda; Arachnida; Sarcoptiformes; Pyroglyphidae
Source: the annotation of a RefSeq genome assembly